RNAcentral lists this ribosomal RNA (460 nucleotides) under uncultured bacterium. RNAcentral's name for it is "partial 16S ribosomal RNA". It matches the Rfam family "Bacterial small subunit ribosomal RNA", at positions 338 to 795 of the family's 1533-position model. The record is from RNAcentral.
CCUACGGGUGGCAGCAGUGAGGAAUAUUGGUCAAUGGGCGCGAGCCUGAACCAGCCACGUCGCGUGAAGGAUGACGGCCCUACGGGUGGUAAACUUCUUUUAUAAAGGAAUAAAGUGAUGCACGUCUGCCUUUUUGUAUGUACUUUAUGAAUAAGGAUCGGCUAACUUCGUGCCAGCAGCCGCGGCAAUACGGAGGAUCCGAGCGUUAUCCGGAUUUAUUGGGUGUAAAGGGAGCGUAGAUGGGUUGUUAAGUCAGUUGUGAAAGUUUUCGGCUCAACCGUAAAAUUGCAAUUGAUACUGGCAGUCUUGAGUACAGGUGAGGUAGGCGGAAUUCGUGGUGUAGCGGUGAAAUGCUUAGAUAUAACGAAGAACUCCGAUGGCGAAGGCGGCUUACUAAACGGCAACUGACAUUGAUGCUCGAAAGUGUGGGUAUCAAACAGGAUUAGAUACCCUUGUAGUC